Callithrix jacchus (white-tufted-ear marmoset) is the source of this 1766-nucleotide long non-coding RNA. RefSeq lists it as uncharacterized. NCBI's taxonomy places the organism in Eukaryota, Metazoa, Chordata, Mammalia, Primates, Cebidae. The record is from RefSeq and is a predicted model, not a curated record.
UGGAAUGCUCCUUCUGUGACUGUGUUUUAUGCUCUGGUGAUGAGUGUUCUGAAAUGCCCUCCUCCCUCUCACACAGCCCCUAGGGGACUGCCCUAGAUGCGGAUCUUGACGAUAGUAGCAAAUAAUAGCAGGAAAGUAGAAGGAUUUUGAAGGUCAGACUGAGAAAGUCUUCUUCGUGAACGGAAGUUGAACUGGGGAAGGACUCUGUCUCUCUUCCUAUUAAACAGGAUCUUACUCAGGCUGAAGUGCAGUGGCACAGUCUCAGCUCACUGCAGCCUCAAACUCCCAGGCUCAAGUGAUCCUCCCACCUCAGCCUUUGUGCUGAAAGUACAUAGAAAUACUGUGUUUUCUAUGUAUUACUAUAACAGUAAUGGAAUUUUACAGAUCGAGUCUCGCUCUGUUGCCCAGGCUAGAGCGCAGUGGUGCAAUUUUGGCUUACUGCAAUCUCUACCUCCCUGUUUCAAGUGAUUCUCCUGCCUCAGCCUCCUGAAUAGUUGGGACUACGGGCGCCUGUCACCACCCUGGCUAAUUUUUGUAUUUUUAAUAGAGACAGAGUUUCACCAUAUCGUCCACGGUGUUCUCAAACUACUGACCUUGUGAUCCACCUGCCUCAGCUUUUCAAAGUGCUGGGAUUACAGGGGUGACCCACCGCUCCUGGUGCAAGAUUGUUUUAAGGAUUAAAUGGCAUUCAUUCUUUCAGUCCUAUCUCUACUGAGAAUUUUUUUCCUUGACCUUCCUUAUCCUGCAUUAUCAUUAUUUUUCAAAGCACAUUUGCUUAUCUAUUGUUUAUUGUGUAUUUAUUUAUUAUUGGUCUCCUACCACUAGCAUAUAUGUUUCUUGAGAGCAGGGAAUUGGUCGUUCACGGAUGUAUCUUUAGAGUCUAUAAUUGUGUCUGAUCCUAGCAGGCAUUGAUGACACAGUUCUUGAAUGAAUUUGUUGAGUGAAUGAUUGAGGUGUUUUUCCAUCAUUGCUGUGCCUGUGUAAAAAGGAAGUGUUUGAUUUUUCAUCAGUCGUCUUGCCCCCUUAAUCUCUAUCAGAUAUCUUCUGUGUAAACGGUCGGUCUUGCUUGGUAAAAUUUGUAGUUUCAUUUUUCUGUCCAAAUGAACAGAAUCCCUCAAGUUAAAUAGACAAUGUGAAUAUGUAAUGCGUGAGGAAUAUUUGAAAGCACUGUAAUACUCAAUCAUAACUGUGGUGCAAACUAAAAAAAACAUAGUGAGAUCUCUUCUUAAAAAAUGCAAUUGAAAAUAUAAUAGCCAGUUUUGAUGAUAUUUCUGAGGGGGUGGACAUUCCUAUAUAGGGCUUCUGGGAGGGUAAAUGGAAAUAAUUUUUUAGAAAGGAAAUUUUACAAUAUAUAUUAAAAGCCUUUAAAAUGUCUUCACUGAGUGGUUUAGUAAAACAAUUUGAAAAUCCCAUAAUGGGUUAUGCUUUAUCUAUAAAAAUGAUGUUUAUGAAUGCUUGCUUAUCACAUGGGAAAUUGUUUUGUAACCAGAACUUUCUGCGAGAAGAAAAACAAAGCAGGUAUAUACAUAACAAUUAGGCCUCCCUUGUAUGACAGACAUCUGCAUAGAAAAUACUGACAGUGACGAGCACCACAAUGUUAUGACGGAUAACUGCAAUCCCAGGGGCAAUCUCUUGCAUUUCUCUAUUAAGAAAAUUAAGUGUUGGCUGGGUGUGAUGGCUCACACCUGUAAUCCCAACACUUUGGGAGGGUGAGGGGGGUAGAUCACGAGGUCAGGAGUUUAAGAGCAGCCUGACCAAGAUGGUGA